GGGCCUUCGGCUUCAGAGACUAAGCGAAAGUGAUAAGUUAGCCACCUGGGGAGUACGUUCGCAAGAAUGAAACUCAAAGGAAUUGACGGGGGCCCGCACAAGCGGUGGAUUAUGUGGUUUAAUUCGAUGAUACGCGAGGAACCUUACCAAGGCUUAAAUGGGAAUUGACAGGUUUAGAAAUAGACUUUUCUUCGGACAAUUUUCAAGGUGCUGCAUGGUUGUCGUCAGCUCGUGCCGUGAGGUGUUAGGUUAAGUCCUGCAACGAGCGCAACCCCUGUCACUAGUUGCCAUCAUUCAGUUGGGGACUCUAGUGAGACUGCCUACGCAAGUAGAGAGGAAGGUGGGGAUGACGUCAAAUCAUCACGGCCCUUACGCCUUGGGCCACACACGUAAUACAAUGGCCAGUACAGAGGGCAGCUACCAGGUGACUGGAUGCGAAUCUCGAAAGCUGGUCUCAGUUCGGAUUGGAGUCUGCAACUCGACUCUAUGAAGCUGGAAUCGCUAGUAAUCGCGCAUCAGCCAUGGCGCGGUGAAUACGUUCCCGGGCCUUGUACACACCGCCCGUCAAGCCAUGGAAGUCUGGGGUACCUGAAGUCGGUGACCGUAACAGGAGCUGCCUAGGGUAAAACAGGUAACUAGGGCUAAGUCGUAACAAGGUAGCCGUA
Molecule: ribosomal RNA, 665 nt
Filed under: Chryseobacterium sp. DF7EH2
Lineage: Bacteria; Pseudomonadati; Bacteroidota; Flavobacteriia; Flavobacteriales; Weeksellaceae
Description: bacterial SSU rRNA
Rfam family: Bacterial small subunit ribosomal RNA
Source: RNAcentral